UAGGGAAUCUUCGGCAAUGGACGGAAGUCUGACCGAGCAACGCCGCGUGAGUGAAGAAGGUUUUCGGAUCGUAAAGCUCUGUUGUAAGAGAAGAACGAGUGUGAGAGUGGAAAGUUCACACUGUGACGGUAUCUUACCAGAAAGGGACGGCUAACUACGUGCCAGCAGCCGCGGUAAUACGUAGGUCCCGAGCGUUGUCCGGAUUUAUUGGGCGUAAAGCGAGCGCAGGCGGUUAGAUAAGUCUGAAGUUAAAGGCUGUGGCUUAACCAUAGUAGGCUUUGGAAACUGUUUAACUUGAGUGCAAGAGGGGAGAGUGGAAUUCCAUGUGUAGCGGUAAAAUGCGUAGAUAUAUGGAGGAACACCGGUGGCGAAAGCGGCUCUCUGGCUUGUAACUGACGCUGAGGCUCGAAAGCGUGGGGAGCAAACAGGAUUAGAUACCCUGGUAGUCCACGCUGUAAACGAUGAGUGCUAGGUGUUAGACCCUUUCCGGGGUUUAGUGCCGUAGCUAACGCAUUAAGCACUCCGCCUGGGGAGUACGACCGCAAGGUUG
This 550-nucleotide ribosomal RNA is filed under the name uncultured bacterium. Its description in RNAcentral is "bacterial SSU rRNA". It matches the Rfam family "Bacterial small subunit ribosomal RNA", at positions 355 to 896 of the family's 1533-position model. The record is from RNAcentral.